This 96-nucleotide transfer RNA is filed under the name Aspergillus avenaceus. It matches the Rfam family "tRNA". Rfam says of the family: Transfer RNA (tRNA) molecules are approximately 80 nucleotides in length. Their secondary structure includes four short double-helical elements and three loops (D, anti-codon, and T loops). The record is from Rfam by way of RNAcentral. Lineage: Eukaryota; Fungi; Ascomycota; Eurotiomycetes; Eurotiales; Aspergillaceae.
GGGGCUGUGGCGUAAUGGUAGCGCGUGUGACUCCAGAUCUGACUCCAGGUCGAAUGGUCCAUCAUAAGGUUAGUGGUUCGAUUCCUCUCAGCCUCA